Molecule: long non-coding RNA, 13507 nt
Organism: Wyeomyia smithii (pitcher-plant mosquito)
Lineage: Eukaryota; Metazoa; Arthropoda; Insecta; Diptera; Culicidae
Exons: 2
Source: RefSeq, a predicted model, not a curated record
UUUCGAAAUUUAAGCGUUUUUUUACGCGGAUUCCGGAAUUUACGCAUUUUUUUAACGCGGCACGUAUCCCUUGCGUAAAAAGCGACUUUAGUUUCGGAAUCCACGUAAAAAAAGCUGCGUAAAAAGACCCAUGUAAAAACAACCGCGUAAAAAGCGACCUUAGUGUACCAUUUUUUUACUUCUAAAAUUUUGAAGAGCUUGCCCCCCCCCCUAUUUGAAAUUCUGGCUACACCCAUGAACGUUAGUUUGUUGUCUAAAUAAGGCAACUUUUCAUUGUAGGAAUCAACAAAGUAAAAGUCGGUUGAUGUACCUACUACUGUACUGAUGCUGCCCACUACCGCACAAGGGCCACUUUUUACUAGAGGAUGUAUUGCUGCACCAGCUGGCUCUGCCACCACGGCUACCGCUGCCGUACAAAGGCAACUUUUUUGUAGAGAAAAUGCCACUGCACCUAUCGCAGUUGGUGGUGCCACUAGCGCUGCUGAUACUCACUCAGCUACCACUGUUGCUAUCCACUGCAUCUGUUGGGCUGUCCUAGUCGUUAUCCAGAACUAAUAUGACUGGUUAAGGCAGAAGCAGGCUCUUAUAAGAACCAAAUAGUACCUUUCCGGUUUUCUAAUUAUAUAAUUCUAUCGACCGGGCUAGGCAAGGCAAGCAUUAAGCGAAUAAUCAGAGGUCGAAUUCUGUGUUUUAACAAGGCUUGUCAAUUUUCAAUAGUUCGAAUAAUGAAAUUACAAUUUUCUGCAUUAGAGUGGAUGCACAGAUGACUUUCGAAUUGAUUGCUGCAAGAACGAAGGAAAUCCAUUGAAAACUAACCGAGCCGAACCUGCUGAGAGACGUUCAGGGAGUAGACAAAAUGAUUGAGACAGGCAACAUUUUGUCAAUUUUUGAAUCGCCAUAACUUCACGAAAAAUGAAUUGAUUUUGACGAAACAGAUUUCAUUUUACUGGAGGACUAUCCUAGUUUUUUAGUAUUACUUGAGAACUUGGAUUUUAGGAGUAUGCGUCAAAAUGUACAUUUUUGCAACCCGAAGAACUUUUUCUGACACCUUGUUUUUUGGUUUAUAUAUUGCAUACAAACCAGAAUUAAAUCCGACAUCAUUGGUACUUAACGACCGGAAAUCCGUCAAAAUCGUUUUGUUCAAUCCUUGUUGUUCUAUGUCAAAUGAAAUUUUUCAAAACACGAAUUUUUUCACGGUCAACAUAUUUUACGUUGAAAAUGUUUCAUGGGCAUUACUUUUCCUUUUAUCCUGAAACUUUCAAAAAAAUUUAGAUAAUUUAGAUAUUUAGAUGUUCAUCUAAAAAAUUCAAGUAUUAAAAGAUUUGAGGGCCGUUUUUUAAUAAUUUGUUGUUCUUCAAAACCAAUUUUUUAGAGUGGACUUCAAAUACCUGUUUUUGAUAAAUGAAAACUCAGACGAUUACCUAAAAGUUGUUUUUGACAUUUUUUAUCUCUCGUGUUAAUUAGAUGUAUCCAUCGAAAAUACUUCAGCCCUUUUCAACUAUUAGUAUAGAUACGUUUUUCAAAAAUGAAAUAUGCAAAGUUGCUUAGUUUGAUAGGGCUCAAACAUUCACGGAUUCGAAUAGAGUGCUGCAAACACCCGGUCGAGUUGGCGCGAAUUCCGUUGUUAGAAAAAUCAUAACUAGAAAACUACAAAACUAAUCAAAAAAAAAAACAAUCAAAAAUAAUGUAUGUUAACGAAAAAAUACACUGCAAAAGUAAUAAUUUUCAAUCUUAUUUAAAAAUUACCUUCUCGUUAAAAUACUCAAAUCAACCUUAACUGUAGACAUGCUUGGUAUUUUCUUCAACAUGGGAGAAAAGCUGAAUGAAUAUUUACCGUUUACUUCUUGUUCAGCAUGAGAGCUGCGUGUGGCAAUUUUUUGCGCUACACUUUUUUCAUUUCUGUACUGUGUUUUAUUGCUCGCAGAGAAACUAACACACUUGCUGCUUACACCACAGCUGAGCGGAAGAAGAGUGAUGAAUCAUUCUAAAGAGAAUACACGGAAGAACGCCGUGGAGUACACUGCUGAGAUCAAUUCGGUAGAGUUCAAAGAGCAAAUGCGUGACGGGUGGCUGGAAUUAUUUUGUUCCAGUUUCGAGAUGCAAAGUAAACACCGGUAUCCAAUUUCCAGCCUAGAUUUUCUCCUUCUUUGACAUUUACUUAAGAGACACACAGUAAAAGCAUUGCAGUGAUCUCCGUUGUGUAGUUAUUGAGUGUAUCCACAAUACGCACGAGAGUCACAAAUGAAAUAAGGCUUUGGUCUCAAUAUUGUUCUCCAAACGUUUUAGAAAAAAAAAUGAGGCAACAGUUUUUGUAAUUGAGUAACUAUUACUUUUUUUAGAAAAACUUUUGCAAUUGUUUUCACAAAAGUCUUUAAAGAUUUCAUUAAAAACAUUUUUUUCUAAUUUUUGUCUCUGUGACAAUUGAAUUAGAAUUUACAAGUUUUUCUCUAAAGAAUCACAGACCAAAUUACAUUACUUCGGAAGCAAGGGUAUAUUUUUCAUUAAGUAGUCACGGUGAUAAUAUAUUUGCCCAGAGAAAUAGUUUUCCCAGAUAGUCACUGUGACUUUCGAGAGGAAAUAUACAAAAACAGUUAUGUUUGAAAGAAGGUGUAACCUCUUAAAAAACUUUUAGGUUAUUUGCGUUGUCACAGUGAUCAUCUCUUUUGGUUUGAGCUGAUAUAAGGAAAAGUAAACAUCAGGCUUUGACCGACAAAUAUCACUGUUUGAUCACUGUGACUUUUGUCAGGAAAUAUAUGUCAAAUGUUGUUAUAGAAUAUGUAGCCCUUUUAAAAAAAUAUCUUACUACAAUGUCACAUGAAUUUAUGUAAAUAUCUCUUUUCAAUCAAAUAACAAAGAAAACAUUACUUCAAUAUUACACAUUCCCUUCAUCCAACGUUCGAUUAGUAUUGUCUCACAAGAUUCUCCGUAUCAAUUGACCGUUAUUAAAUAAUCUAUAAUCAGUAUCGAAAAAAAUGAAUCUUUUUCUACAAAGGUCACCAAAAAUAAUUGGUGACAAAUUCCUAUUUGGUUCAUCAAGAUGGAGGUGAUAAUUACUCGUCGCAAAGGCGUCCGAGCUACUUCUUCGAACGUCUAUAUGAAACGCUCAAACCGGUCAUACUCGAGCGGCAACGACGCGUCGGUAGAGGCGGCGAAACAGAACGAGUAGUGUUUUGACGCGCGUAUACGUACGGUAAUGCCAUAUUCAGACUAAAUCUUUCAUCGCCAGGUGCUUUAUAUUUGCUUUGUUUGGGUUUGGUAAUUGAAAAAAGCAAAUAGAAUACAUUUUCGUUUAGCAAAUGUUAAAAUGUUUGAAAAAUGUUAAUGCAGUAAUACCAUGUCCGAUUAAACCUGAUAUCACCAGGUGCUUUAUAUUUCGCUUUAUUUUGGUCUUAAAUCUUAAAAAAAGAAGAAAGAUCAUUUUUCGGAUAGAAAAUAUUAUCGGGAAAAAUUUUCAGGUCGUCGGGAAAAAAACACUGGUAUUUUUGAUUGAUAUUGCAUACCUAACAUGCUGAACCUUUCGGUCGAAAAAGUCAAGCCGCUGAGUAACUAGCUGUGGUCACAGGGGUUAUUCAAAGCCUAACAGAUAUCAUAAACUAGUUAAACGUUACUCGGGGUUAGCGGGUUUAAAAUUUAGACUAAUUUCGUAUAUUUUUUACUACGUCUGUAACGCAACUGACUUCAGAAAUAUUAUUUUACUUCAUAAAAAAUCUCUAUGUUUACUAAAAACGUGAUUUACCGUGCUUGAAGAAGCAAACAAAUCUUCAUUGGACGAAUUCAUUUUUUUUUAAACAAAACCGCUGCUGGAAUCUAGGAAUAUGACAGCACAACGCAUUUGCCACGCUCGCUUCAGUAUGUCAUAGGAAGCUUCACCCAACGCUUCUGUUUUAUCCGCUUCUUAUACGCUAAACGCUUCGCUUCAUUUGACGCCUCAGUAUGUCAUUAGCCUAAGCCCCGCCUUUUCGACGCUUUUUCAGCAUUCCUGACCAUUUACAGAAAAUAUUCUUCGUACGAAUUUGAAUUUUCUUUCGAAGGUCACCAACAUGCCAUUUGUGUGGACUGGGUUGUCCUUUCUUUUGAGAAAGAUCACACCAGUUUUUUAUCUCUCUGGAGAACUAUUUCAGAUUCCACACCGGUGUUUUUUUUCGCUCUCCUCAGAUACACAUUGUUUUUUAAUAGAGGGGGUUGUUUUGUGAUGAAUUGAUUAUUUACUAAUAUUUAUUCAGAAUUUUUAUUGUAUGUUCUGCCACAAACGGUGACAUAUCAACACUUUUACAUAUAUUUUAAGCUUCAUUUCAUUAAAAGAUUGUAAUUGCUUCCGCAGUUAAGUGAAUAUAAUUGUAGGAAAAUUUUAAACCUACUUGUAAAGAAAAAAAAGGAAUUUAAAAUUAAACCUUAAUCUAAUCUUACACCUAUCUUACUGAUCAUAAAGUGAGUUAAUCGUUGUAAUUGAGGAUUGCAACGAUUUUUGUCGGAACUUAUUGAUAAGUUGGUUUGACAUAUUUUCUAAUGUUUCCUCAUUAGUAAGCCUGUGUAGUUCAUUCGUACUAAACCAGCGAGGACGCUUCAAUAUCAUUUUCAGAAGUUUGUUUUGACGCAUCUUUUUUCUGGUUGUACAACAACUUGUCCAGAUGGGGACUGCAUAUAAGAUUGCUGGUCUAAAUAUUUGUUUAUUCUUGAGACAAAGUCUAGAAUUUCUGUUGAUAAGAGGAUACAAACAUUUAUUACACUUUGUUUGGGUAUUCUCAAUGUGCUCUUUGAAGGUAAAAUUUUUAUCAUGAAUUAGCCCCAAGUAUUUAACUUGAUCAGACCAAUUUAAGAUUGCACCGUUCAUCUUAACAACAUGAUUAUUAGUGGUUUUGAGAAAAGGAACUCUUGGUUUAUGAGGAAAAAUAAUUGUGUUUUUGAUGCAUUAGAAAAAAUCGUCCAUUUCUACAAAUAUGAAGAAAAUAUAUGUAGACUUUUUUGCAGUCUACUGCAAAUAACACGAAGGCUUUUUCCUUUUACGGAAAUGCUUGUAUCGUCAUAAAACAAAGUUUUCUCACAUCCUGGUGGUGAAUCAGGAAGAUCAGAAGUAAAAAUAUUAUAUAACACUGGGCCCAAGACACUUCCUUGAGGUACACCAGCUCUAACGGGCAAUCUAUCAGAUUUACUAUUCAAAUAGUUAACCUGAAGAGUGCGGUCAGUCAAGUAACUUUGUAUCAUUUUUGUGAUGUAAAGAGGAAAACGGAAAUUGGACAUUCUGGCUAUCAAACCUUUAUGCCAAACACUGUCGAAUGCUUUUUCUAUGUCUAGAAGUGCAGCUCCAGUGGAAUGACCUUCAGAUUUAUUAGAACGAAUCAUAUUAGUUACUCUGAGUAACUCAGAUACACAUGAUUCGCUGCUCUUUUCAAGCAAGUGCGUCGCUUUGCUCAGCAGUGUGAGAGUAGUUGUUUACGCAGUGAGAGACAAUCUCCUACACGGUAGUAUUUUUCCGAGGAGAAAAGACUAGCCUGACUGUAGAUAAAAAACUUCUUAGGUUUUUUUUUGGAUUCAACAUAGUGAUAAAAUUUACGUUACCAGAAUUGAAGGGACCUGUUUGUUAUUGCAAAACUCGCGUAACAAAUCAUUUAAACAAAGUGAUCAGUUCGAGAUCUCAAAGAGAUUUAAUAACAUAUAUGGAAGCAUUAUUCAUACGAGAAUAUCUUUUUUCCUUUUGUUCUCAUAGAGCAAACCAGAGAAAAAUACAAGACAAGUUCUCGCUGAGCAAGAAUUUACAGGUAUUAGGUUGAACAAGUGCUAAGGCGAGCCUUUAGAAAUGACCUCAUAAGUACUAAUUUGCUGACUCCAUUAUUUCGCUUUGAUUUGCAAUAUAUUAAUUAAUUUCUAGUAAUUGCAAAAGAUGCAUGUAGAAAAAAAAAGAUUGUAAUGAAGUUUCUGAUAAUAUAGCAAAGCCUUGGUGCUAGACUCCGAUUCGGAACUCGAUCUUCUGUUUAUUAUACACAGACUUCGCAGCCAACUGUCAAGUGUACAGGACAAUUGCGGGGCUAGCGCUACGAUCCUACUGACACUAACGAGUCGAGACUCGAAUCUACGACGACUGGCUUGUUAGGCCAGCAUCGUACCUCGAGACCAGCUGGGAGGGUAUGAUAAUAAAAAUAUAGCAUAAAAUUUAAAUUUGAUAUCGUGAUGCUGAAAAUUUUGUAUUCGGUUUUAUACAUAAUUCAAGGAACUCUUUUUAAUAAAAAAAUAGCAUGAAUGUUAACCUUAAAAAUAAAAUCAGAAAGAGUAAUGUCUGAGUAAAUUUGCAUUUUACAACGUUAAAAUAAAAAUUCAUAAAUUCUAUUUUUAAUAUAUAUUUCUUCUUUUUAAGCUCAGCUGUUCAACUUUGUCUAUUUGCAGUUUUGAGCUGUAAUUUUUUGAACUAACCAAUUCAUAAAUUUUCAAAUACAACAAAUUAAUUGGGUGGGAGAGCUCGACUGUCGAUGGUAUCAACAAUUGGGUUCGGCUUAGCAGUCAAUUGUUGACAACAAAUUAAUAUAGGUAUUUUUGAAGCAAGGCAAAAAACAUUUGGUUAAGAGCAAAUAAUAGAUUUAUAUUAUGAGAAAGAAAAACUGCAAUCUCGAAUUCUCUGACUAGAAUCACACACUCUAGCAACACUUCCCGCCAAGAAAGGAUUGCAAGUUUUCCCAGAACGGCGUUUUCACUGUCACCAGUGGCGUCGACGACAACAGCGCAGCGAAAAAGAUGUAUGCAGAAGCACCAAGGAUGAGGGGAUUACACGUCUUUCCUCCUGAAAGGGAUACCUACUCUGUGACGCGUCGCGCGCAUACUCCCGAUGAUGGUUUACAGCGUCAGAUAUGCGUCAUAGCACGCGACCGACGACGCUCGGUAGCUUUGUAUGGGUGGGCAAAAUACACCCAAUCGCAGGAUCCGUUUUGGCGUUAAGGGGUGCAAAAAAUAAACGCUCCGGGUGGCAGUAGGGUAGGGGCAGGAUUUUUCGCUCGCUAUGUAGUUCCUUUCAGCGGAAAGUUUCCUAUUUGUUGUGAUUCGCACAUGGGAUGAAAAAACAAACCCUUUUUCUUAACCGUAGUUUAUGUACUGAAGAUGGUUUUCUUCCAAUACUAAGAAACAUUUUGUUUUUUUACUGCGUCGAAAUCUUCACGGUAUUGGUUCGAAAUUUUUUGGUAUAUUUUUCCACGAAGGCGCUCUCUUUCUUAAGAAAACCUCACUUUUUAUGCUGUUUUUCUUCGGCAUGAUUGCCUGAGCAUGUGCGUGUGCGGAAUGUGUACCGGUUUUACGUGGUGAAGCGUAAUUUUUGAUUUGCUCCCGUGAAGGGUGUUAUUAGACGAACGAGACCAACCGUAAACGGUCGCAUUUAAAUAUCAGACUUCUUGACAAUCUGACCACAAAUAAAGAAAAAAAUCUUUACAAAAACUGUUUGCAACGGUCGAAUUCGACCGUUGGAAUAGCCGUUAGCAACAGAGAUGGUUACCACCUGCAGGAAAGCUGUUCGGUUCAAGGUGAUUAACAUGCGAGACGCGGCAUCUGCCGCGCGCCAAGCUCCGGCUCACGUUGGUGAGUUUUUCCCGACUCAAUUACAGUCGUCUGGAUGCCAUCAUGGUCCGCUCGGGCUGCAACAUCAGCAGCAGCAACAACAGCAGAUUCCAACUGUUGAUGCCCACUGGCCGAUGGAUAGGGACGACGACCUCGACAAUGACGAUGACGACGAUGAUUAUUGUCGUCCAGCUGGCGAUAAUCGUUCGGAGCAAUUUGCUCUGUGCUGGAUGGGCAGUUUAGUACUGUCCGUUCGAGUGGCCAGUCAGGAUGUGUGCCAAUGUGGCAAUUUCGAGAAGUCGGUCGGUGGUGCAAUUAUAAAGUUGACGGGUAGUUUGUGGCUCGCAGUGACGUUAAGCGUGGAGUAGUGUUGAGCGGAACGAAAGUAGUGUUAUAAUUAAUGAUGUGUUGCUGACAUGGCGCUUUGGGAGGUGUGUAAUGAUAAAGAUAACUUUCUAUUCUUAGUAUUAGGAUUAGAGAAAGGUGCAGAAAGCGGAUUGACACUCGAAGGGACGUGAAUUAUGAUAAUGUAAACUGUUACGUCAGUGAAAUCACAGCAUAUAAAUAACGAGCAGAUACAUUUUCAAUAUACUAGACAUGUAGUUAAUGUUUUUGAAAUAUACGCGCAAUGCAAAUCACAACUUUAGUGUAAACACCUUAUAACAGCAUGCAAAUCGCAAAGACUACCACAUUCAAUUUAAUGCUGCAUGGUAAUGAAUUAUAAUUGAAAUCUGUUUUCAAUACUGGUUAGCCUAGUGCAUUGUAGAAACUAAAUUGGAAAAUUUGUGAUAGAUUACUUUUUGCUACAGCAGUGGAUAUGGCAUGUGUUCCAAAGAAAAAAAAAGCAUUACAAUGUAUCGAUGAGAUUGAUCCAAGGUUUUGAAGCUGGGCAAUGAUUUUGUGAUUAGGCGCACAAAAAUGAAUAGCCUAAUUUCUUAAAAAAAAUCACUGUUUAUAAAUAAUUCAUAAUUCAUAUUGGAUAUUCCUAAAGUUUCAUUCAAUCGUCAAUUGGUUCUUUUAAAGUUUCAAACAAAUGUAAAGGAGGAAUGAAUUAGAGGGACCGAACAACAAUCAUAAAUACGAUAGCCAUACGAAUAUUUACCAAACGUACAAUCGCCAUAAAGAUGAUUGCCAUACUAAAACUGGUUCUUAAAAAAACACCUCUAUUCUUUCCAUAAGCAAUUUGCAUUAAGUAUGUAAGAUGUUUAUAUCCUAAAUCGACAGAAUUUUGAACUUUGUUAGAGAGCAAUUUUUUGAUUUGCAAACAAAUUUUCUAGACCACCAUAAUGCUGUACGAGUCAAUCUGUUGUUGAACAAGGAAUUAAAUGCCGCUAAGGAAUGAGAAUAAUCACCAACUUUCGAUAAAAAUCGUUGCAAUCCUUGGAAACUUCAUCAUGUGAUUAAUGAACGUUUUCUGUUUUAUGAUUUUGAUGUUCGGAAGAAUGGAUGCUAAUGAUCGUGUACUAAUUUCCUUAUGAAUGAAAACGAAGCAAAAGAGAGAGAGCAAUUUAUUACCGCAAUGCGUUACUGAUUGAUCGAAGAAGCCGAUGAACAUUCGAAAUAAACGAGUAAAUUAAAUAUAUUUUCGCGCGCUCCUCUUUGUUUCGGAUAUCCGUACGGCGAAGAUGCAUCAUCGAUUGACAUAGUCCGAGUCGUCUGUCGACUCACCGUCGGAAGCGGCGGCCUCUCGUAUGCAUUAUUUAUCGCUGAGGGCUAUGCUUUAGUUAUGAAGCUAGUUCAGCCGUUGAAAUAGGAAUCACUAAGAUGCAGAGAGUGAAGCAUAGUUUAUAGUUUUCAGCGAAGUAAAAAUUGGAGCAUAAAUUUCCACUAGUGAAAUCAGUCGUGACCGGAACUUUUAGAAUAUAAACGCACAAAAAAGUCAUGUGCGCAAAAAAAUAAUUAACCCAAAUUAAAAAGAUGCGAUUCAAGGCCUUCGGUUUCGCUGGCUCGAAUUCGUUCGCAGUUUCAAGCCAAACGAGUUGUUGGGUGUAGCAUUUGUGUUUUGUAUAAGAUUUACACUUCGCCUGGAGCAUGUAUAAGUUAUGGUUAUUGGCAGAUUCAAAUUUAAAGACGACUGUAACAUGAAAUUUCAAGGGAAAUACGGUUUUUCAGUCUUAGAGGUGUAUCAAAACGCUACUAGGUUUUAUGUCCGACGUUUCGGCCUUUGAGCUUGGCCUUCCUAAGGGGAUCUACAAGAUUAUUAAAAACAUUUUAUAAAAAUAGUACAUUUUUUUCCACUUCAAAAACUCUGACAAAAAACAAUGUUAAAAGUUUGUAGGUAAUCUCUAAAGCUCAAACUAACUCUAACGUUUUAAUAUAGUUACCGUAAACUGGGGUGACUUUGAUCACUUUUUUGAUUGUAUCUUAAAUAUUUUCAGAAUAUACUGAAAACAAAAUUGUUUUAUAUUUUUUAAAUAAGUACUGGCAUGCAUUGAGAAAGAUUCAGUCACUACUUCAAACGUUUAGUAACAAUUUUGCUGUUUUUAAGUAUGCUCCAAAAGUUUUACACCAAUCAUCAUUCCGGGGUGACUUUGAUCACUUAAUUACUUUGAUGAAUUUGGAGUAACGCAUUGCUACUUUCACUAAAUCAAACAGCCUAAAACGACUUAAACGAGUUCAUAAAUAUGGAAAGCAAUUUGGGGGCCAUUCACAUUCUACGUGAACAGUUUAUGUUGGCGAAUGUCCAAGAUUCAUACAAAAUUUUUAGUAAAUAUAUGAAUGAUUAUCCACUGAGAGGGAAGGUGGUCUAAAAUCAUCAAAAACCAGUCCACGUGAAAUAUGACUUAUGCAAUUGUCCAAAUUUGCAUGUUACUUCACGUCUUGGGUUUUUGUUAAAAAGAAAUAUGUAAUACGCUGUGGAGAUUAUUGGGACUCAACAUUGCCUUCGAGGAAAAACUUGCAAAAUAACAAUGAAAUGCAUUGUUAUAAUAUUUGUUAAUCUUAAGAACUAAUCUGGGAACAAAAUAAAAAAACUUUACGUAUUGCAACUUGUUGUUUUGAAUCUGCUUGAACCGAUUGUUUGUAUGCAACAAAAAUUGCCAAAAAUACACUUUAUUUUCAAUUAAUAUUUCAGAAUGAAAAACACUGUGAAAAUAGCAGGAAUUUAAUGAGUAGUAGCAGUGCAGACAUAUAUCCACACAAUCAGUGUAGAUUACGACAAAUCCCAAGCACUAUGAGCGCUUUUUUACCACAUUUUCAAAAAAGGGGUACAGUGAUCGAAGUCACCCCGGUGAUCAAAGUCACCCCAGUUUACGGUACUUUGAAAGAGAUCCCAUAGAUAGCUAUGACAACCUAUCGUAAAGCUUUGUACGCUGAACGAAAAAUGGUACAACUUUAUGUAAGUUUUUUGAGAAAAAACAAUGUCAGAGUUUUUGAAGUGGAAAAAAAUGUACUAUUUUUAUAAAAUGUUUUUAAUAAACUUGUAGAUCCCCUGAGGAAGGCCAAGUUCAAAGGCCGAAACGUCGGACAUAAAACCUAGUAGCGUUUUGAUACACCCCUAAGACUGAAAAAGCCGUAUUUCCCUUGAAGUUAUUGGCAGAUUCAACAACCUGGAUGCUUUAUGGCAACAUAUUUUUAACAGCAGAGGGAUAUUAAAAGUUUUUUUUUGGAAUAUUAGAAUUAUUUUAUGGUUACAUAGCUUUCAUACGUAUGGUAACCGUCCGUAUUUUUGGCUGUUGGCGCGUUCACCAAAUAUCGAAAAAUUUCACCGUAAUUUACUCAAACAAUAUACCAUUUAACUACACUUUUUUUCAAUAGAAAUGUUGCGUUAGAAAAAGCAUCUUUUUUUUGUUAUAAUAUAUCAAAAGGUAAUUAAUAUAUCAAAAAAAAGGUAAUUAAUAUAAAUUUACGAAACUAUUUUCUUCAGUGUAAUAUACACUGAAACACUUUUAGAAACAUUUAAUUAUACAUAUUAUUAUUCAAUGAGUUAAUUUUUGUACACGUGUUUCUGACGAGUUGCCAUUGAUGAAAAAAUCGCUUUUCGGAGUGGGAAUGUUCGAUACAUUUAAAAUACAUUUCUCGCGUAACUUUUCAAGAGGACCUAAGUAGCAAUGGGAGAUUUUCUUCUCUCUCAUUCUGUUCCGUUGAUUUCUUGUCACAAGUCUUCAGAUUAUAAUAUUACCUAGCUUACUAUACAAAGAGUAUCAUGAAAAGUGUAAAAACUACUUAGUUAUUAAUCAAAAAGAAAGUAAACAAAGAGAGUUAUAUAGGUCCUUUUGAAAAGUUACGCGAGAUUUGAUGUUUUGUUAAAAGCUGUGAAUCACUGCGUCAAGUGUAACAUAUAUCGUAUCAGAAAAUAAACUAAAGAAUUGUUAGAUAUCCAAGUUUCUAAACUCGGAUUUCGUGUUGAAUGGGAUGAACGUCAAGAUUACUAAACACAGAAGAUAUUUUUGUCACACGACAAUGCUCCGCCACAUUUUGAAAUUUAAUCUCUGCUAGUCAAUUCCCUUUAAUAUAAUUUUUCAUACAAUAAAAAAAUUAGGUCAUUUUAGUUCGGGAAAGUCAGUUGGUGUCAGCAGGAUAGCAGCGCUAGCCCCGUAAUUGUUCUGUAAACCAACAGUUGGUUAGAAAGUCUGUGUAUAACCAACAGACGUCCAAGCUCCGAUUGCGGAAGCUUGCACCAAGCUUUUUCAUUUUAAAUUUUGAUCACUUACCAUGGAAAGUCAAAAUAAACUGCACUGGGUUUAAUUAAAUGUUUGAUAUUUCAACGUAAAGCCAACAUUGGCGAAAACGACCAAUCAAAUGAUAAUUAUGCAUCAAGUCAAUGAAAUCACGAAUAUUAUUAUCAAGCAAGACAAGAAAUGAUAUCAGAUUAUAAAGAGUAUAUGAACCGAUUAAUUGUAGCAAAAUACCUGCAUUAUCUAAACAUGAAAUUAAAUAGCACCUAGGAAUUGAAUAUAGUGAAAAAAUGGCACAAGUCUCCCAUUAUAAAAUAGGAUUUAAACCGCUUUUGCCAUUUUUGCUUAUAAUUCAAAGUUCGAAAAACUGUUGUCCAAGCAUCAUAUAUUUGUUCAUAAAUCAAGUGUGUUAAAGUAUGUAAUUUUUUUCCCGAAAAUUUAUUUUGGUGAUUCAGUUAUAAAAAAAAAUCAGAACACAGGCCAGCGGCGAUCAACAACCUUGAUAACACUUUUACCAUCCAUACAUAACGAAGCACAGAGCAAACAACGAAUGCAUCAAAACUGCAAUUAAAUGUCAAAAUCCAGAUUCACAGCACAGCAAAUGUUCAGCGAAAAUGCGCAAAACAUACGAAAAAAAAAAUAAUGUGGCACAUCACAUUACAUCCUCAAUUAGGCAGCAAGGUGAUAAUCUUUUGCUUUCUUCGCGGCCACAGAUAAAGUAGGUGAAUAAGACAGAAUUAAGUAAUCUAAUCAUAUAAUAGCAACCAGCGUAGGUACGAUACAUUGAUAAGUAACAGUACUCUUUCAGUUACAUCGAUUUUCUUCACUUUCCGGGCUGAGGGGUUCUGAUGCCGUUCGCGGUUCAUAGCCCCAAAGUGCUUGCGAAGGUAAACAUAGCAUCGGCAAAAUGUUCCUUGUAAAAUUACGUAGAACGAAACAUUAAUUAAGUGUAUCAAGAUGGAAGAUGAAUACUUUAAAACGGCGGUAGUAAUGCAUCAGUAAAAAUAUGAAUGUUUAGUGUAUCAUAAAUAAUAACAGCUUCCGGCACUGCAACUAAAACCCUUUGACAAGAUUUACUAAUUGUAAUUGUGGGAAGCAGGAAAAAUAUUAUAAUAUAUGAUAACAUGUCAACCAAUGGUUGCGAGUAUAAAGUAUUUAAUCUAAGAAAGUAUGAAGCAUGGCUAUCAGAAUCAAUUAAACCACAACCAAUACCAGUAGUUGUAAUUCAACACACGGCAGAUGCAAUUUUAUCGAAAAUAGAAACUAGAAGUAACCAGUAAACAGUAAAAGUGUAUAAAACAAUGUGUGUUUAUUAAAAUCAUUGGAAUAAAGAAUCGCACAUCAAGUCCCAGAUCAAA